RNAcentral lists this ribosomal RNA (1170 nucleotides) under Acinetobacter sp. SVU_12. Its description in RNAcentral is "bacterial SSU rRNA". It matches the Rfam family "Bacterial small subunit ribosomal RNA", at positions 10 to 1175 of the family's 1533-position model. Lineage: Bacteria; Pseudomonadati; Pseudomonadota; Gammaproteobacteria; Moraxellales; Moraxellaceae. The record is from RNAcentral.
AGUUUGAAUCCGGCUCAGAUUGAACGCUGGCGGCAGGCUUAACACAUGCAAGUCGAGCGGGGGAAGGUGGCUUGCUACCGGACCUAGCGGCGGACGGGUGAGUAAUGCUUAGGAAUCUGCCUAUUAGUGGGGGACAACAUCUCGAAAGGGAUGCUAAUACCGCAUACGUCCUACGGGAGAAAGCAGGGGAUCUUCGGACCUUGCGCUAAUAGAUGAGCCUAAGUCGGAUUAGCUAGUUGGUGGGGUAAAGGCCUACCAAGGCGACGAUCUGUAGCGGGUCUGAGAGGAUGAUCCGCCACACUGGGACUGAGACACGGCCCAGACUCCUACGGGAGGCAGCAGUGGGGAAUAUUGGACAAUGGGGGGAACCCUGAUCCAGCCAUGCCGCGUGUGUGAAGAAGGCCUUAUGGUUGUAAAGCACUUUAAGCGAGGAGGAGGCUACUUUAGUUAAUACCUAGGGAUAGUGGACGUUACUCGCAGAAUAAGCACCGGCUAACUCUGUGCCAGCAGCCGCGGUAAUACAGAGGGUGCGAGCGUUAAUCGGAUUUACUGGGCGUAAAGCGUGCGUAGGCGGCUUAUUAAGUCGGAUGUGAAAUCCCCGAGCUUAACUUGGGAAUUGCAUUCGAUACUGGUGAGCUAGAGUAUGGGAGAGGAUGGUAGAAUUCCAGGUGUAGCGGUGAAAUGCGUAGAGAUCUGGAGGAAUACCGAUGGCGAAGGCAGCCAUCUGGCCUAAUACUGACGCUGAGGUACGAAAGCAUGGGGAGCAAACAGGAUUAGAUACCCUGGUAGUCCAUGCCGUAAACGAUGUCUACUAGCCGUUGGGGCCUUUGAGGCUUUAGUGGCGCAGCUAACGCGAUAAGUAGACCGCCUGGGGAGUACGGUCGCAAGACUAAAACUCAAAUGAAUUGACGGGGGCCCGCACAAGCGGUGGAGCAUGUGGUUUAAUUCGAUGCAACGCGAAGAACCUUACCUGGCCUUGACAUACUAGAAACUUUCCAGAGAUGGAUUGGUGCCUUCGGGAAUCUAGAUACAGGUGCUGCAUGGCUGUCGUCAGCUCGUGUCGUGAGAUGUUGGGUUAAGUCCCGCAACGAGCGCAACCCUUUUCCUUACUUGCCAGCAUUUCGGAUGGGAACUUUAAGGAUACUGCCAGUGACAAACUGGAGGAAGGCG